RNAcentral lists this ribosomal RNA (444 nucleotides) under uncultured bacterium. Its description in RNAcentral is "bacterial SSU rRNA". It matches the Rfam family "Bacterial small subunit ribosomal RNA", at positions 29 to 506 of the family's 1533-position model. The record is from RNAcentral.
AUGAAUGCUGGCGGCGUGCCUAAGGCAUGCAAGUCGAACGAAUCAUUGCAACAGGUGAUGGUUAGUGGCAAACGGGUGCGUAACACAUUGGUAUCUGCCUCGUAGUCGGGCAUAACGUUCCGAAAGGGACGCUAAUUCCACGAUGGUCUCGCACGAGUAAAGUCGCAAGACGCUACGAGAGGAGCCUAUGGCCUAUCAGCUAGUUGGUGAGGUAACGGCUCACCAAGGCUAUGACGGGUAGGGGGUGUGAGAGCACGACCCCCCUCACUGGGACUGAGACACUGCCCGGACACCUACGGGUGGCUGCAGUCUGGAAUAUUCGGCAAUGGGCGAAAGCCUGACCGAGCGACGCGGCGUGCAGGAAUAAGGGCUUCGGUCCGUAAACUGCUUUUGUCAGGGACGAAUCAUGACGGUACCUGAAGAAUAAGAGGUUGCUAACUCUGU